AAGUCGUAACAAGGUUUCCGUAGGUGAACCUGCGGAAGGAUCAUUACCAUGAGACAUUCUUUUUGGUGUAUGGGUUGAAGUUUGAAAUAUAACUUCGCUCUGCCAAAGGAAGACCUCCCACCCUGUGUUUACCUUUUAAAUGUGGUCUUUGGCAAUUCCGUUUUUCUGAAUGUCUUUUCCCUCUUGGGGGGAGAGGCUGGAUGAGACCGCUGGCAAGAAAUUGCGAGUGAGUGAUUGCCAAAGUUUUUACCAAAACUCUUUACAAUAUAUACAAUGUAGUCUGAGAAACAAAAACAAAAUAAAACAAAACUUUCAACAACGGAUCUCUUGGUUCUGGCAUCGAUGAAGAACGCAGCGAAAUGCGAUACGUAAUGUGAAUUGCAGAAUUUAGUGAAUCAUCGAAUUUUUGAACGCAUAUUGCACCUUAGAGUAUUCUUUAAGGUAUACCUGUUCGAGCGUCGUUUAGAACAAUAAAGCAUUGCUUUUUGAUGGAUUUUGAUGAGUGGCCUUGCAAAAGGACGAAUUUCAACUUCCCAAACAGAGUGGCGUCUACUUAGCUUGUGCCAAUGUACAGUAAAAAUGCUACAAGGGAGAAGCAUAAAGUAAAUCAGCACGCAAGAAUAAAAAACCCAAUUAAAUGUUCGACCUCGAAUCAAGUAAGACUACCCGCUGAACUUAAGCAUAUCAAUAAGCGGAGGAAAAGAAACCAACAGGGAUUACCUUAGUAACGGCGAGUGAAGCGGUAAGAGCUCAAAUUUGAAAUCUCCUAACAAGGCGAAUUGUAAUUUGUAGAGGAAUGUUCGGCGAAAUCUUGAUCCAAGUCUUCUGGAAGGAAGCGCCACUGAGGGUGAGAGCCCCGUUAGGAUUAAAGAUGUAGCCAUGUGUACAUCCUUCGAAGAGUCGAGUUGUUUGGGAAUGCAGCUCAAAACGGGUGGUAAAUUCCAUCUAAAGCUAAAUAUUGGCCAGAGACCGAUAGCGCACAAGUAGAGUGAUCGAAAGAUGAAAAGCACUUUGGAAAGAGAGUGAAAAAGUACGUGAAAUUGUUGAAAGGGAAGCGCUUGCAAGCAGACUUGAGAGUAGUGUUCAGCUGGUGAUUUCACCGGUGUAUUUCAUUGCAUUCAGGCCAACAUCGGUUUCUUGGGUCGGAAAAAAGCAGAGGGAACGUGGCUCUUCGGAGUGUUAUAGCCCUUUGCAGAAUACGGCCAUAUUGGAGACCGAGGACCGCCUCUUUUGUAGGAUGUUGGCGUAAUGGUUGUAAGCGGC
Molecule: ribosomal RNA, 1263 nt
Filed under: uncultured fungus
Lineage: Eukaryota; Fungi
Description: eukaryotic LSU rRNA
Rfam family: Eukaryotic large subunit ribosomal RNA (bases 643-1263)
Source: RNAcentral